AGUGAACGCUGGCGGUAGGCCUAACACAUGCAAGUCGAACGGCAGCACAGUAAGAGCUUGCUCUUACGGGUGGCGAGUGGCGGACGGGUGAGGAAUACAUCGGAAUCUACUUUUUCGUGGGGGAUAACGUAGGGAAACUUACGCUAAUACCGCAUACGACCUACGGGUGAAAGCAGGGGAUCUUCGGACCUUGCGCGAUUGAAUGAGCCGAUGUCGGAUUAGCUAGUUGGCAGGGGUAAAGGCCCACCAAGGCGACGAUCCGUAGCUGGUCUGAGAGGAUGAUCAGCCACACUGGAACUGAGACACGGUCCAGACUCCUACGGGAGGCAGCAGUGGGGAAUAUUGGACAAUGGGCGCAAGCCUGAUCCAGCCAUACCGCGUGGGUGAAGAAGGCCUUCGGGUUGUAAAGCCCUUUUGUUGGGAAAGAAAAGCAGCAGGUUAAUACCCCGCUGUUCUGACGGUACCCAAAGAAUAAGCACCGGCUAACUUCGUG
This 493-nucleotide ribosomal RNA is filed under the name uncultured bacterium. Its description in RNAcentral is "partial 16S ribosomal RNA". It matches the Rfam family "Bacterial small subunit ribosomal RNA", at positions 29 to 507 of the family's 1533-position model. The record is from RNAcentral.